AGGAUUAUAUUUAAGUAUAAUAUUUGAUUUGCAUUCAAAAGGUGUGUAAAACUAAUCUUA
This 60-nucleotide transfer RNA is filed under the name Zorka agnesae. RNAcentral's name for it is "tRNA-Ala". The record is from RNAcentral. Lineage: Eukaryota; Metazoa; Arthropoda; Insecta; Hemiptera; Cicadellidae.